RNAcentral lists this long non-coding RNA (448 nucleotides) under Populus trichocarpa (black cottonwood). Its description in RNAcentral is "long non-coding RNA (PTRI_LNC004084)". The record is from RNAcentral. Lineage: Eukaryota; Viridiplantae; Streptophyta; Magnoliopsida; Malpighiales; Salicaceae.
GCUUGAUAGGAAUUUGAAUGCUGUGGAAGAUGUAUUUAUUAUUAUGUUUUUGAGCCUGGGAUUUUGUUUCUCUCUUCCAACAUUGGUUUUUAUUUCUUUUUCUGUUGUUUGUUUUGUUAAUAUUCUUUUUGGUGAGAACUUGAUAGCUUUUUCUUGACGUCUUGAUUGAUAGGAUCGAAUUAUUUUUUCUGAAGAGGCUGUUUUUGAGAAGGAACACUUUUCUUUCUUAGUUUUUCUUAGAUGGGAGAUCUUUGACUCUAAUAAUUGAUUGUAAUAUCAUAGAUUUCAUAAUUCUUUGGGUUAUUUAGGUUAAUCAAGCUUUGGGAAGAGUUUACAUCUUGAAAUUCAAUACAGAUGAUCAAAAGUUUUUCAUUUGGAUGCAGGCCAGGUUCAUUUUCUGUGUUUUUCACUCUCUUAUGUGUAACAUUGACUCAGCUGUUAGUUGCAU